Molecule: ribosomal RNA, 530 nt
Filed under: Micromonospora pattaloongensis
Lineage: Bacteria; Bacillati; Actinomycetota; Actinomycetes; Micromonosporales; Micromonosporaceae
Description: bacterial SSU rRNA
Rfam family: Bacterial small subunit ribosomal RNA
Source: RNAcentral
GAACGCUGGCGGCGUGCUUAACACAUGCAAGUCGAGCGGAAAGGCCCUUCGGGGUACUCGAGCGGCGAACGGGUGAGUAACACGUGAGUAACCUGCCCUAGGCUUUGGGAUAACCCUCGGAAACGGGGGCUAAUACCGGAUAUGACCUGCCACUGCAUGGUGGUGGGUGGAAAGUUUUUCGGCCUGGGAUGGGCUCGCGGCCUAUCAGCUUGUUGGUGGGGUGAUGGCCUACCAAGGCGACGACGGGUAGCCGGCCUGAGAGGGCGACCGGCCACACUGGGACUGAGACACGGCCCAGACUCCUACGGGAGGCAGCAGUGGGGAAUAUUGCACAAUGGGCGGAAGCCUGAUGCAGCGACGCCGCGUGAGGGAUGACGGCCUUCGGGUUGUAAACCUCUUUCAGCAGGGACGAAGCGUAAGUGACGGUACCUGCAGAAGAAGCGCCGGCCAACUACGUGCCAGCAGCCGCGGUAAGACGUAGGGCGCGAGCGUUGUCCGGAUUUAUUGGGCGUAAAGAGCUCGUAGGCGGC